GCCUAUUUGGUGUAGUGGUUAAGGUACUGGGCUAGAAACCAGGAGACUGUGAGUUCUAGUUCCAUAAUAGGCA
Molecule: transfer RNA, 73 nt
Filed under: Ophiophagus hannah (king cobra)
Lineage: Eukaryota; Metazoa; Chordata; Lepidosauria; Squamata; Elapidae
Rfam family: tRNA
About the family: Transfer RNA (tRNA) molecules are approximately 80 nucleotides in length. Their secondary structure includes four short double-helical elements and three loops (D, anti-codon, and T loops).
Source: Rfam by way of RNAcentral